ACCUGCUGAUAACAACACCGAGAUUACAAGAGCAGACUUUCUGCAGUGCCUCCUGAGCAAUUGGUUGUCAUUGUCCUAAACAGAACAGCUAGGUUAAAAAGAUUUAUCCAUAAUGUAACCUCCUGGACCUCAGCUAUGGGUGGAAGCAACACUUUCUGGUUUGACCUCCUAAUACCACAAACUCCACUUUGCCAGAAAAGUGACUUCUUAAUGAAUAGUCUGUUCAGACCGGCCAAUUUGGAGUGUAUUCAUAUUUCGCCACCUGCUGGAGCGUCAACGACCAAGAGGAGACCAGAUGAGUUUUCAAAGCAGUCCUCACACACCCAGGACACACCUCAUCCUUUGCCUCGUGCUUUCUGCAAUGUUGCUGUUCAUGUUCAUCUUCCUAUUAACAUUUGCCAUAAUAACACCUUAUUGACCACCAUUAUUCCUCCAUCCACCACCCACUCAGCUCCUUCUCUGAGGUGCCCUCUAAUGGGCAGUGACUUUGGUCUCUAUUUGGCAAAUUAUGUCCAGGUGGUUAACAUUAAUUUCUCUUUCUCCUAUUUCUCCCUCAUGCUAGACUUAGUCCAACACUCAGCCCCCUGUCAGGAAAACCAUAGUAAAUCCUACUUUCUGCCAUAAUGAAGUUACAAGACACUUUUCCAGAGCAGUCACACUCAAUGAAGGGACCCAGAGUAUAUCUGAGUGUGAUGUAAUUGAAACCACAUGGAAAGACUAGAAAUACCUUGCCCCCAGUCAGAUACAGUGAAAGAGCUUACUCAAGACUGGACUAAGAUUUAGAAUGUAGUGGAGCUAGGGAGGAGAAAGAGAAAGAUCUUCAGAAGUGGAUUGUCUCUGAAUACAGGAUGAAAUCAUCUAGAUUUUUUUCUCCAAUUAAAUUUGCAUUUCAUUCAACC
Mandrillus leucophaeus (drill) is the source of this 899-nucleotide long non-coding RNA. RefSeq lists it as uncharacterized. The record is from RefSeq and is a predicted model, not a curated record. The transcript has 2 exons. Lineage: Eukaryota; Metazoa; Chordata; Mammalia; Primates; Cercopithecidae.